Mus musculus (house mouse) is the source of this 4643-nucleotide long non-coding RNA. RefSeq annotates it as predicted gene, 46571. The transcript has 2 exons. Lineage: Eukaryota; Metazoa; Chordata; Mammalia; Rodentia; Muridae. The record is from RefSeq and is a predicted model, not a curated record.
GGUCUUCAGGUCAGUUCAUGCAAAGAUAGCCUAGACUCAACCUUCUUCAUACUUAGCAAAGACACUAGUGCUUAGGAGAAAUCCAUGGGUGUUUAUUAAAAGGAUGGAUGGCUUUUAUAAUAGAAGAUUAAUAUGUCGGAAUGCAUUGGAAAGCCUACAUCCUUGGGAGAGCUUGUUUCUGGCACCCAGCUAAAAGUCAGGAUCUGAGUAUGAAAGAUUUGGAUGAAUAGAGCUGGACCAAAACCCAAAAUGGCCAAAAGCAAGGAGAGGAAAUGGAAACAGCUGAGCCCUGCCUUGGCAGCUCUGUUGUUGACCUGGUCUGCUUCAGCAGUCCUAACACUCAUGGGGGUGCUUAGUGUCCCACACACUAGCAGUGUGGCGCCCUAAAGGAAGAAGAAGGUAUCUUCUCAGACACAGAGUAGGUUGUUUGUGGGGCCUGGAGAAGGGUUUUCAGAUUUUCCUUUUCUAUGGUAAAAGAGUGUUUCACCUUCUGUCCGGGCAGUCCCAAGAGAUAUGAUAUUUGUGACUUUGGCUAAGCUAUCAGAGGGAGACCCAGAGAGACAUGGUGAUAGUGAUGGGACAUGCAGCCUGUAGCUAGGACACUGGAUGAGAGGACAGGCUGUGUCCAAUGAGCCCCCCAGACCCGGUCUCCUGUCUUUCCUCUGGCUUAGACACCCUUUUCCAUUCAUAACUCCAGACAUACCCUCUGCCUCUUGAAACUGGAACACAUCUGCCCUGGCUUCGCCUGGGUGUGAUUUAUAAGAUCUCCCUGUAACUCCUCUCCCCCUUCUCCUCCUCUUCACCUCUGGGCUUUGGGGUUUCAGACUUUUUUUUUAAGCAGGCGUGUGUUUCUUGAGACUGGGUCACCUUGAUUUAUUAUGCCCUGGACUCAUUAACAAAAGACUCUGAGACAGGUCAUUUAUUUUCUGAGUGGCGAUUUCCUGUCCUACCCCAGCUCCACUCUGCAGGAACCUCCCAAAGCACAGACGGACAUUAAGGGCACUGUCACCACCAGAGACUGGAACUGAGCAAGGAAGGUGCAGAGGGCAGAAAACAUCCCUUGAAAGUUUUUCUCUUUAUAAUUCUCUCCAGAAACUUAGUUUCUCUUAGUUUUGAUCUUCAUUCUCCUGCCCAGGCAAAUGGGCCAAAGCUUUCCAACUAAAUUUCAAGGCUGUUUUUGUACAGCAACCAAUACUGUCCUUUCUUCACUAUUUUAUAUUUUAAUUAUCUAACAUGAUAUGCCAAAACCAAUACAAUUAAGUUAAUUAAAAACAAACAAACCAAGGCAGGCACUAGUGGGCACGUCGAGCGUGUAUUAGAUAAAUUAAAUGGCAAAAUUUGCUGCCCUGGAACGCAUUCAAGCUUUACAGUUAAUGCUUGGGCUUCAGAGAGAGUAGAAGGCAUCACGACUCUCAGAGAGGACCUUGGGAGAAAGAUGAAAGAUGCUGUUACUUCGGUUUAGACUGAAGACUGAGUUAUUAACUGUUUUCAGGUCGUGGGAAGGCGGUUCCACCCAGCAAUGAUGGUGACCAGCUGCUUUUUGACGUCCCUAAGGACAGAACAAAAGGGAGCAAAAUUAGAUUGUGGCAAAAAAAAAAAAAAAAAAAAACAACAACAACAAAAAAGGGAGAAUAAGUAGUCAUAAAAGUGAGUUGCCACGGCUAAACUCUAUUGAGAGAGAUGUGACGGGAUACAAGGCUGUAAAGCUGUUAGCCCCAUUUUAUAGAGCAAUGAAUGGCAAUUUGGAGAAGUGAAGAAACUUGCCUGACGUCACACAUCUGGGACGGGACUGAACCAGCUCUGGCUGACUCUACAGUAAUGUAUAGCUGACUCACAGGACAAAGAGAUGAAAAGCAAGUUAUGGGGGUGGGGAGUCGAGCUACGCAGUGCUCCUGGUUAAGAUGAGCCAUGUGUAGAAUUCGGGGAAAGCAGUCAUGUGAAGCUUAGAUGUUUGAGAUUGGGGAUUAUAUGUUCCUUUGUGCUAGGAGGGCGAAGACCACUCUAACUCUCAGCCCGAAAGAUGGGUUGAGUGGGCACAGUUCUCUCCAGGAACCCAGGAGAUUGGCUGUAUGUGUGGUGGUCUCUGUUGUUGGUUGUUGUGGGCAGCACUUCAAAAGGAAGACUCCAGUCACAGCAAAGUGAAGGUGUGGGAGUUUGGGGAUGGCUGAGCCUCAGGAAGAACAACUCAAUGACUCUUAGUGCACUGUCUCCUACUACACAGUCAUCCCUAUUUGAAGAGCAGUCAAGGUAUUUCCAGGCAGUUCUUUAAUGAACCACCAAAGUGGCCAGACUUCUGGUGAGGAGCCAGUGGUGGCUGGAUUGUUGUCUGUACUCGGUUUGGAUGGGGCCCACAUGGAGGGCAAAUGACAUAUACCUGUACUAUAUACUGCACACUCCCUCUGCCAGGGAUUGUUUAAGCAAACUACCUUAGUUCAAUCAGUCCAUACAACAACCCUAUGCAGUCAGCAUCAUUGCUGUCCUCAGAUAGGCAAGGAAGCUCAUGAAGUCAGCUCUUCCCCAUGGCUAGGACGAGGAGAAGUGGGACUGUGGAGCCCCAGACAGUCUGAGCACAGCGGCUGCAUUCUUAGCCACCAGGACUUAGCCUGACACGCUUAGAACUCUAUAGCUCUGGAGUCACUGGCUCAAAUGACAUAGCUUCUUGCUGCUGGGUUUAUAAGAAUGUCUAGCCAUUGUAAACAGUGUUCCAGUUUGGGGAUUUUUAUAAUCAUUCUUUCCUCAUCUCCAUCCUUAAGUGGGCUAGAGGGAAGAGUAAGAAGCAGUCACUCUUGACUCAGACUUUGGGUACUCACCCCAGACUGCUCAGUUAACGGCUUAGAUGGUAUCUAAGGGCCUGCUGGGUUCCUCUAUGAUAAAUCCUACAAGUAGUGGUGAAAGGAGAGGUGGCCAUACACCACUUUCAGACCUUAAGCCAAGUGUUUUUUGUGUUUUGUUUGUUUGUUUGUUUCUACCACUUGCCUCAUUCUCACAGGCCUAACAGUCCUUUGAGGCGGCUGUUAUCUGCACAGUUGUACUAAUGAGGGAGGUUGUGUAACUUGUCUGAUGUCAGGCUGGCAUUAUACAAAGGGGCUGUGACCUGAACCCUACCUAGGAAGACGACGCUCAGUCUGAACACACCACACAGCAUUCAAUGCUCAGCACAACACUAAAACCAGGCAGGCUUAGAAGGGAACUCAGGCCGGGCUCAGCUCUGCAGUUGUCCUAGCAGGAAAGGGAGGGGGCCUUGGGGUUCAGCCUUCGGUGUACAGCACUAUAACCGGACUAGACCAGCACCAUCAUUCCUAGGUUCUGCUCUGCCAGAAGCCUGGGGCCACGACAGGAUGCUACAUUCAAACCUUGGCAAUCUCUUCCUUCUUAAUUUAGGCUUCCUCCCAGGAGGGGAUCCUGAGGCAGGAACAUGAGAAAGGGAAAGGAAAAAUAAUAAGAGAUAAGUGAGAAAAAAAAGAGAAUAUUUAUAGGGCUUGUUAACAUCUAAUGGGAACCAGCUGCCUGGUUGGGGGUGGGAGAUUUUUGUUUGUUUGUUUGCAGGAGAUUUUUUUUUAAGGACUUUUCAUGUAUAUGUCUGGGAUGAAAAGAUAGGGAGAGAAGAAUAUACGUGUGUCCUGGAGCCCUGCUGGAGGCUGGGGGAGGAUAUUGGGCAUGAGAUUUCUGCUCUCCCGCCAGCCUUGCUCCACCCCCACCUCCUGCCUUCAUUUCAAACUGGAGCUGAUUCAAACCUGCUGCUCUUGGAAAGAGGCCAUCAGAACAGGCUCCAACAGAAAGCUGAUCCGUGAGGGGCUAUGAGUGUGAGGGAGUGGGGCAAUCACAAAGAACGAGAAAAUGAGACAAGGGAAUGGAAAAGCCUGCCUGCAGGAAGCUGGAAGUCCCACCUCAUCUACCCAGCCAUUGGCAGCUAGCAUCUUCAUCCAUCACUCAAGAACCAACCGGAGAAUAGGGCCUUCAGCAUUCACGCGCAGAUUCCUGAUCUGAGCAAAAGUUUUCAAAAUUCUGGAAUUAGAAAAUUUGAAGGUCGAAAAUACUUAUAUGGAACAUGAAGGACUGUGCCUUACACUUAUGUGGUUUGUUGUUGUUUAUCUGUUAUGGUUUUGUUUUUGCUUUGUUUUGUUUUUCUGGUGCUGCACAUAGGCCCUGAAGAAGCUUGGUUGCCGAGACAAGCCACCACAGCACACGGAACUCCAGGGCUACUCUGAUCAUCACGUAGGAUGAUUUAAGAAACCAUGAUCUCACUGCCCUUCAUAGAUGUGGAAAGCCAUGAACUGUGGUAGAUUUGGGAGUUAGAGAUAAGUACAGUUUUGGUACAGUGAUUGAACCAGUUAAGUGUUUAAUUAAUCCAGGCAGCUUCUCUGCACUGGGUCUGAACAUUCAUGAGAGGCUGUGUUACAUGCUUGGCAGCUGAGCCUUAUCAAUGCACACAUCCCUUAACACACUAGCCUAACCAUGGGAUAGUCACCCCUGUCUGGAGACUCACAGUCAUGGGCAGAACUGGAAUAGGGCAUGCAGGUAAAGGGUGUGAAAGGUUGCCUCCCUCAACAAAUUCAUCCAGACUGGUUCUUCCAUACAUUGGCUUCUCAUGCUUUUGGAUAUAUUUUUUAUCCAGCUUAAAGGUCCCUUGUUGUUUCAUUGGA